CCCUUAGAUGUUCUGGGCCGCACGCGCGCUACGCUGAUGCAUUCAACGAGCACCCGCUGGGCCGAGAGGUCCGGCUAAUCUUUGAACGUGCAUCGUGCUGGGGAUAGAUGAUUGCAAUUAUUCAUCUUCAACGAGGAAUUCCUAGUAAACGCAAGUCAUCAGCUUGCAUUGAUUACGUCCCUGCCCUUUGUACACACCGCCCGUCGCACCUACCGAUUGAAUGGUCCGGUGAAAUUCUCGGACGCGGACUUGCGAUGUUAAUUCGGAGCUUGACUGUGAAAGUUAAUUAAACCUUACCAUUUAGAGGAAGGUGAAGUCGUAACA
This 324-nucleotide ribosomal RNA is filed under the name uncultured eukaryote. Its description in RNAcentral is "partial 18S ribosomal RNA". It matches the Rfam family "Eukaryotic small subunit ribosomal RNA", at positions 1470 to 1796 of the family's 1831-position model. The record is from RNAcentral.